CUGGCGGCGUGCCUAAUACAUGCAAGUCGAACGGUCUUUCUAUGGAAGCUUGCUUCCACUGAGAAGAUAGUGGCGAACGGGUGAGUAACACGUGGGUAACCUGCCCAUAAGAGGGGGAUAACAUCCGGAAACGGGUGCUAAUACCGCAUAGUUUUCUUGAUCGCAUGAUCGGGAAAGGAAAGACGGCCUUUGUGCUGUCGCUUAUGGAUGGACCCGCGGCGUAUUAGUUAGUUGGUGAGGUAACGGCUCACCAAGACGAUGAUACGUAGCCGACCUGAGAGGGUGAUCGGCCACAUUGGGACUGAGACACGGCCCAAACUCCUACGGGAGGCAGCAGUAGGGAAUCUUCCGCAAUGGACGAAAGUCUGACGGAGCAACGCCGCGUGAGUGAAGAAAAGGUUUUCGGAUCGUAAAACUCUGUUGUCAGAGAAGAACAAGUUGGAGAGUAACUGCUCCAGCCUUGACGGUAUCUGACCAGAAAGCCACGGCUAACUACGUGCCAGCAGCCGC
Molecule: ribosomal RNA, 510 nt
Filed under: uncultured bacterium
Lineage: Bacteria
Description: bacterial SSU rRNA
Rfam family: Bacterial small subunit ribosomal RNA
Source: RNAcentral